Non-coding RNA from Candidatus Gracilibacteria bacterium CG2_30_37_12, 677 nucleotides. Lineage: Bacteria; Candidatus Altimarinota. The record is from Rfam.
AUGAAUACACUGUACGGCACAAAGUGGAUGCCUUGACUCAUAUAUCCGAUGAAGGACGUGCAAGACUCACGAUAAGCCUCGGGAAGCUGUCAAGAAGCGUUAUACCCGGGGAUCUCCGAAUGGGGGAACCCAAUACAGCAAACCUGUAUUACCUGCAUAGCAGGAGGACACCCAGCGAAUUGAAAUAUCUUAGUAACUGGGGAAAAGAAAUCAAACGAGAUUCCGUUAGUAGUGACGAGCGAAAGCGGAUCAGCCUAAACCUAUAGUGUGUCAAGCGUUGGAGCGUUGCACUGUGGGUGUUGUAAGAGCAUAUUCCUGACUUCCAAUAGGUCAGACAAACAAAUAUCCUGGAUAGGAGAACCACUUGAGAAGGUGGACCGAAGAAGGUUACAGUCCUGUAUCCGAAAUCCAAGAUGUUGAUUUGCAUAUGUUUCUUGAGUAGGGUCAGACACGAGAAAUCUGGCUUGAAUCUGGGGGGACCACCCUCCAAGGCUAAAGAGUAUAUGAGAUCGAUAGUGAACAAGUACCGUGAGGGAAAGGUGAAAAGAACCCCGGGAGGGGAGUGAAAUAGAACCUGAAACUUUGUGCCAAUAAAGAGUCGGAGCCUUCGGGUGACGGCGUACUUUUUGUAGAACGGACCAACGAGUUAGCUGUAUGUGGCAAGGUUAAGGAAGAGU